UUUGAGCAUUAGCUGCCCUCUCUCCUUGCUCAGUGCUGUGCAAAAAUAAAGUUCCUACUUUCUUCCACCACACCCUGUGUCAGAGAUUGGCUUGCUGCGCAACGGGUGAGCGAACUCCCUUCAGUUUCGGUAACAAUUUGGCGACCCUGAUGGGACAAUGUCCCAGGUGGACAUCUCGCCUGUGGCACACUGGCCACUGGCUAAAGGCCUCUCUUGGAAGCUGUCCUGCAGCUGCCUGAGCCCCUUGUCUCAGGGACAGCCCCAAGUGACUGGCUGCUAACCAGACGUCGUUGGCCCAUGGCGCUUUUGCUUUGGUGGUGGAAGAAACUAGGUUUAGGACAUAGGAAGAUGUCUAUUGUAAGUAGCUGGUAGUUUUUGUUUUUGUCUUUGUGUUAAACUUUUCCAACAGGACCGGCCGGAAAUAAUGGGUACCUUGGCAGCCCUCUGGGCUCUAUUUGUUUUGAAGUCGCCGUGACGCCCCGGCCAAAUUUUGAGUUAAGAAAACCUUUUUCUCUAUUCUCUUAAAGAACUAUGACUUACAGCAAUUUAUAAAAAAAAAAUUGAAGCAUUUGUCUUUUCCUCCCUAUCUGAGCCCCCCAAAAUGCAGAAACUUCUGAUAAGUAAGUAUUCUUGUUCUUAUGGCAAUAUAGUUGUUUGCAUAAGUACAAUAAGAAUCUGUUCUUCUUUUAACAGGACACAAUUGGAAACACUGGUUAUAUUACCAAGACUUUGACUGGAAUAUCAUAUUUUAAAAAAACAUACAGGCUUGGAUAUAACACGACAGCUUUUGAGGAAUGAAGGUUGACAUUCUGGAAUAAAGCCACUUGGAAAUAUUGGCCUGGUACUAUGCUUAUGGGUUCUGUAACCUGGUAAGGUUGAGCAAAGAAUGUCGCUCCCUCUGGCAGGAAUACAAGGAACCUCAGUAUUUUGGGGAACCUCACAAAGACAGGGAUUUGCCCAAAUCUGCAGGUACUGCAGACAGAAUCUGAUAACAGGUCCUUUGCUUGGCUUUCCUUGAGAGGCCUUUAAAGAUCACCCUGAGAUUCCUUAUAAGGUUCCAGCAAAGCAGAUUUAAAAGAGCCUAUGUGAUCAAUUACUAUUCUUGCUGUACUCAUGUAAAUAAUUAUGCCAAGUUUAUUAAAACUAGACAUUUUGCAAACCAGUUAGUCUUAAUUUGGCUAUGUCUUGUGAAAUUGAGGGUAAUUUUAGGGAGGAAGAUUAUGUUUCAAUAGAAACUAAUACAUGAUUAUAAAUAUUGGAUUUUAGUUUUCUCAAUUCUCUUUGAAAUUUUUGAAAUUUCUGUUAACUGGACUGGAUCUUGAAUUCUUCGUCUCCUGAAAUAUCUGGCUAAAAACUUCCAAACUAACAUUUUUAGGCUUUUUCCCCAUUAUUUUCACUUAGAGUCAUUGAAAAUGGAAUCUGCCCUUUUUCCUAAAGCCUUAUAAACUGAAGCUGGAAGACCCAAUAUAAACUUAAGCGAGAUUCAUGUCUACUGCUGUGUACGCCACUCAAAAAUCUACCUGAGUUCCAGAUGACACCAUCAGAGACAUUUCAAACUACAAAAGAUGCUUUGACCCUGACUUCUAGGAAUCUUGAUUGGCUUCCCCCUGGGCUCAGAAACUGGUUUAUAAUUUGCUCCAAUCAUUAACAUUGUUUUUCUAUUUUUGUUUCUCUAGAAAAACUUCUUAUUAAAUACCUGGUUACUUAGUUACAUGAUACAGGCCUAACUUCAGAAGCCCACCAGCAUCACUGCCUUAUUAAAAGACUGGUUCAAUGAGAUGAAAUGACCUACGCCCCAUUUCAGCAAAUCCACUAUACUCCAUGGAGACAGACACCGUCAAGGACAAGCACCUGGACUAUCUCCUC
This is a non-coding RNA of Equus caballus (horse), 1866 nucleotides long. The record is from RefSeq and is a predicted model, not a curated record. Lineage: Eukaryota; Metazoa; Chordata; Mammalia; Perissodactyla; Equidae.